UCGCAGGAAGGUAGUCCAGCCCAGGCGAUGGUUGUCCUGGGGUAAGCAUGUAGGGCGUGUCGUAGGUAAAUCCGCGGCAUUUAAGCCUGAGAUGUGAUGCCGAGCCGAUUGUGGUGAAGUGGAUGAUCCUAUGCUGCCGAGAAAAGCCUCUAGUGAGUGUUGUGGCGGCCCGUACCCUAAACCGACUCAGGUGGUCAGGUAGAGAAUACCAAGGCGAUCGGGUGAACUGUGGUUAAGGAACUCGGCAAAUUGCCCCCGUAACUUCGGGAGAAGGGGGACCUCUGUUGGUGAUGGGCUUUACGCCUGGAGCUGGUGGGGGUCGCAGUGGCCAGGGGGAAGCGACUGUUUACUAAAAACACAGGUCCGUGCGAAGUCGUAAGACGAUGUAUACGGACUGACGCCUGCCCGGUGCCGGAACGUUAAGGGGACCGCUUAGCUGACGUGAGUUGGCGAAGGUGAGAACUUAAGCGCCGGUAAACGGCGGUGGUAACUAUAACCAUCCUAAGGUAGCGAAAUUCCUUGUCGGGUAAGUUCCGACCUGCACGAAUGGCGUAACGACUUCCCCGCUGUCUCAACCGCAGACCCGGCGAAAUUGCACUACGAGUAAAGAUGCUCGUUUCGCGCAGCAGGACGGAAAGACCCCGGGACCUUCACUACAGCUUGACAUUGGCGUUUGGAACGUCUUGUGUAGGAUAGGUGGGAGACUGGGAAGCUGUCACGCUAGUGAUGGUGGAGUCAUUGGUGAAAUACCACUCUGGUCGUUUUGAACGUCUAACUCUGGUCCGUGAUCCGGAUCGGGGACAGUGUCUGGUGGGUAGUUUAACUGGGGCGGUUGCCUCCUAAAGAUAACGGAGGCGCCCAAAAGGUUCCCUCAGCCUGGUUGGCAAUCAGGUGUUGAGUGUAAGUGCACAAGGGAGCUUGACUGUGAGACUGACAGGUCGAGCAGGAGCGAAAGCUGGGACUAGUGAUCCGGCAUCGGCGUGUGGAAGCGGUGUCGCUCAACGGCUAAAAGGUACCCCGGGGAUAACAGGCUGAUCUUCCCCAAGAGUCCAUAUCGACGGGAUGGUUUGGCACCUCGAUGUCGGCUCGUCGCAUCCUGGGGCUGGAGUAGUCCCAAGGGUUGGGCUGUUCGCCCAUUAAAGCGGUACGCGAGCUGGGUUUAGAACGUCGCGAGACAGUUCGGUCCCUAUCCGCUGCGCGCGCAGGAGACUUGAAGGGGGCUGUCCCUGGUACGAGAGGACCGGGACGGACGAACCUCUGGUGUGCCAGUUGUACCGCCAGGUGCACGGCUGGUUGGCUACGUUCGGAAGGGAUAACCGCUGAAAGCAUCUAAGCGGGAAGCUCGCCUUGAGAUGAGGUCUCCCACCACGAGAGUGGGUAAGGCUCCCGGUAGACGACCGGGUUGAUAGGCCGGAGGUGGAAGCACGGUAACGUGUGGAGCUGACCGGUACUAAUAGGCCGAGGACUUGACC
This 1472-nucleotide ribosomal RNA is filed under the name metagenome. RNAcentral's name for it is "bacterial LSU rRNA". It matches the Rfam family "Bacterial large subunit ribosomal RNA", at positions 1472 to 2925 of the family's 2925-position model. The record is from RNAcentral.